CUCUCUAAAAGGCGCUAAACUUGUGUUUUAUCCGGCGAACGGAUGAAAGUCCUGGUAGACGUUAUUUAACCGUUUACUAUAACGGUAGCUAGCUUACGUUGAAACAUUAUACGUCAUCAUACGUCAUCAUACGUAACAAAAAUGUUACGUUUAUAGCAAUACGGUUUGACAUUUUGCUCUUCAGUUAACGUUAGUAAAUGAAGUUAAACUUAGCAACCUUCCUGAAGUUAAACUAACUAAGGUUCUCAACUCCAUGCUAAAAAGUGUGUGUUAAAGCUUGGACCCUGGCUGUAAUAGCAGCACAAUGCCUUGGCUGAGUGUGUGUGGGGGCUGCCAGUGAUGGUGGUGCAGCAGUGGAGCAGUCUGACCUCCCACCGGAGGAGUGGCGUUGACAGAAGGAUGGUCCAGCAGAUAGAGGCGGCAGCAUGCUGAGCGCAGUCGCCGCACAAUGCCACAUACAAACUUCCCCGAGCUGUGGAAGUAGACUUCUUUACCUACAUGCCAACGCAGAGGUGACAACAAUAGCCAAACACACAGAGCCAAAGACAACUACAGCGGUCAAGCAUCAGCAGCCGCUCGGGUGAUCCGCUCUGCUCAGCACAUUCAAUAAGGAGAUUUAUCACACGCAACCUGAAGAGAUGAGCAGCGGCAAGAAGUAAGUGGCUUCAUUAAGCUUUACAGGAGCGCUUUUCACUCUUUGCAGGGCUACUUGAUCUCAAAUAGAUCGAAUAAGGCACACCUGUGUGUAAAGGAGCCUAUAAACAGCUACUGGUACUUAAUAUAAGGAGGAAUAAAUGCUUUGAGGUCAGGUGCACUUCAGGACAAGUGGACUGGUAAUGAGGCUGACCAGCUACAAUAAGAAGGUGAAAUUU
Molecule: long non-coding RNA, 872 nt
Organism: Centropristis striata (black sea bass)
Lineage: Eukaryota; Metazoa; Chordata; Actinopteri; Perciformes; Serranidae
Exons: 3
Source: RefSeq, a predicted model, not a curated record